Molecule: ribosomal RNA, 245 nt
Filed under: uncultured bacterium
Lineage: Bacteria
Description: partial 16S ribosomal RNA
Rfam family: Bacterial small subunit ribosomal RNA
Source: RNAcentral
UACGUAUGGGGCGAGCGUUGUUCGGAAUUAUUGGGCGUAAAGGGCGUGUAGGCGGCGUGGCAAGCUUGGUGUGAAAUUUCACGGCUUAACCGUGGAUGUGCGCUGAGAACUGCCAUGCUUGAGUAUUCGGGAGGAAGAUGGAAUUCCUGGUGUAGGGGUGAAAUCUGUAGAUAUCAGGAAGAACACCGAUGGCGAAGGCAAUCUUCUAUCGAGAUACUGACGCUGAGGCGCGAAAGCGUGGGGAG